This 366-nucleotide ribosomal RNA is filed under the name uncultured eukaryote. RNAcentral describes it as "partial 18S ribosomal RNA". It matches the Rfam family "Eukaryotic small subunit ribosomal RNA", at positions 592 to 976 of the family's 1831-position model. The record is from RNAcentral.
CAAUAGCGUAUAUUAAAGUUGUUGCAGUUAAAAAGCUCGUAGUUGAAUUUCUGGCGGGCGCGCCGGUCUUCCAAGUGUUGUACUGGGCGCAGUCCGCCAUCCUUGUGGAGAGGGCUCGCAUUGAGUUGCGUGUCGGAUCUGCAUCAUUUACUGUGAAAAAAUUAGAGUGUUUAAAGCAGGCUGUCGCUUGAAUACAUUAGCAUGGAAUAAUAAGAUAGGACUUCGGUCUAUUUUGUUGGUUGCGAACCGAGGUAAUGAUUAAUAGGGAUAGUUGGGGGUAUUCACAUUUAAUUGUCAGAGGUGAAAUUCUUGGAUUUAUGAAAGAUGAACAACUGCGAAAGCAUUUACCAAGGAUGUUUUCAUUAA